Irineochytrium annulatum is the source of this 71-nucleotide non-coding RNA. NCBI's taxonomy places the organism in Eukaryota, Fungi, Chytridiomycota, Chytridiomycetes, Chytridiales, Chytridiaceae. The record is from the annotation of a GenBank genome assembly.
GGUUGGAUGGUGUAGGGGCAGCACUUCAGAUUCUGAUUCUGGCAACCCGGGUUCGAUUCCCGGUCCGACCU